GACGAACGCUGGCGGCGUGCUUAACACAUGCAAGUCGAACGGAAAGGCCCUGCUUUUGUGUGGUGCUCGAGUGGCGAGGGGGUGAGUAAAACGUGAGUAACCUGCCCUUGACUUUGGGAUAAAUUCAGGAAACUCGGGCUAAUACCGGGUAGGAUAUCCUGCUGCAUGGUGUUGGUUGGAAAAAUUCGGCCGUUGUGGAUGGUCUCGCGGCUUAUCCGCUUGUUGGUGGGGUAGUGGCUUACCAAGGCUUUGACGGGUAGCCGGCCUGAGAGGGUGACCGGCGACAUUGGGACUGAGAUACGGCCCAGAAGGCUACGGGAGGCAGCAGGGGGGAAUAUUGCAGAACGGGGGGAAGCCAGAUGCAGCAACGCCGCGUGCGGGAUGACGGCCUUCGAGUUGUAAACCGCUUUCGCCUGUGACGAAGCGAGAGUGACGGUAAUGGGUAAAGAAGCACCGGCUAACUACGUG
This 468-nucleotide ribosomal RNA is filed under the name uncultured bacterium. RNAcentral describes it as "partial 16S ribosomal RNA". It matches the Rfam family "Bacterial small subunit ribosomal RNA", at positions 28 to 507 of the family's 1533-position model. The record is from RNAcentral.